UUUUCCUUGUCUCAAUUAUAUCGACGAAUUAUUUCAAAGAUAGGAAAAUUACAUAAACGAAGAGCAUGAGGAUUAAUCCUGCGAUGCUGGUUGCACGCAUUCUCUUUAUGUUUGCUGCUGCCGUCGCGAUGAGCGAUGCCAUUAGAGAUGUCCCUACUACUACUACUCAUCAUCAUCACAUCACCCAAGGGGAGCCCCAGCCGCCAGGAGAACUACCUAAUGCUGUCCAAGGGGAGCUCGAGUCACCUGGUAAAGUCGUUCUAUUAGAGCCUGAGCCGCCAGGAGCACAACCAAACAACGUCGUCCAAGGGGACCCCGAGCCGCCUGGUGCACAGCCUAACAAAGUCCUCCUAUUGGAGCCCGAGCCACCGGGAGCACAACCUAACAAAGUUGUCUUAUUGGAGCCCGAGCCGCCUGGUGCACAGCCUAACAACGUCGUUAGAAAGGAGCCCGAACCGCCUGGUGCACAACCUAACAAAGUAGGGAGCCUAAGCCGCCGGGGACACACGACCUAGGGAGAGCCAACAGUGGGACUUAAGGGACUAUGUUCUAGAAAUAAACUGUCGCUUCAACUUUUUAUAUAUAAAUCUAAUGAAAUGAAAAUCAUAGUAUCCAUCCAUUUUAAGUUUUUGUUUACUUAGACCAUUUUCGUCUCAAAAUUUAAUUAACAAUCUUUAAAUGAGUUCAGAUAACAAUAUUAACAAUUUUAACAAUUAAUUUAAUGAGCAAUAUCUAACCUGAAUUACUAUUCAUUUCUAACCACCUUCAUUAAUAACAUUUUUAACAAUUUCUAUUCAUCAUUCAUAUAUAUAUAUAUAAUUUAUAUAUAUAUUUUAACAAUAUUUUAAAAGAUAAUAAAAAAUAAUUUAUAAUGUAAAUCCUAAUCAAAAUGUUUUUUUAAUAAAGGGUCAAUUUUAUGUGUCAUUGUUAAUUUAGCAAACAUUGAAUCAUCUAUAUUAUAGAUGAUUGAACUUAAACCAUCAAAAUUUGAAAUUUCUCAUCUAAUGGCCCAUAAUAGUAUUAUUUAAUUAAAAACCUUACAUCCCUAGCCUCAUUUUUCAGUACAGCCGUCAUUUUCAAAAUUUGAUCCCCACUUUUAUUUCUCUAAAGCGACGGUAUAUCUGUAUUUCUGACUGCAAAAGAGAGCGGCCGGAAAACAGCUCUGUAUUUCUAGCUGCAAGAGAGAGCGGUUGUACACAAAUUUGAUUGUAGCGGCGGUGGUUUUGAUUUACUUCCGGUAAGAGAAUCUGGUUUAGACUAUCUGAGAUCAAGUUGGUCAAUACCAGGUUUGUCCGUCGAUUGGGUUUUGUCUUGAUUUGUGGGUGUAGUAGUUGUGCUCGUUCCGAUUCGUUUUGAUUUGUGGGUGUAGUAGUUUUGCUCGUUCCGAUUCGUUUUGAUUUUGAAUUAUAAUAUACUUCAUCCGUUCUUGAAAUUAUUUUGAAUAUGAUUUCGACCUUUAUUCCCAAACUAGUUAUGCCUAGUUUUAAUUUGUUUGAAUUAUGAUUUUGGUCUCCAAUCUUCACUCCAAUCUCUCCAAGGUGCUCCAAUUUCCAGUUGGGCCUUUUGUUCUUCGAUCGUAAUUUUCUCCCUCGUCCGACCUCCGUUUGAGCUCCGAUCGGUCUCGUCGGAAUUUUCUCGUCAUCAUCUAUCCAACGGAUACCUGCAAGCUCAUAUGCAACAUGAGAAAAUGGGUCGAACGGACAAUGCUACACGAAACCCUUAUUUCUUCCAACCAAUCACAUUGAAGGGUCGAAAUAAGGUCAAACGACGUCAACAACGGAUUAAGAUGGGGUCAAAUCGACAACAAAUAAUCGUGCUACCAAUAAUUUUGCUAUUUUGAUUAAUUACGUAAUUUAUAUUUAUUUUGAUUUUGCUUUUUCACUCAACAAACACUUCUUCCAAUUCUUCUUCACCAUCCAAAAUUUUAAUAAACUUGCAUUCCACUACACAAAGGGCGAUGACUAUAACUAUACUAGAAUUAGCAUAUCCUUCCACUACCUUGUAAUUGUUUUUUUGACAAGUAUUGCUCCAAUACCUUAGUGAUCUAGGUGAUGAAAAAUUAAAGGACGACAUUUUUUAGAUCAAUUUUUUCUACCAUAUCUUAACUAUCUGAAUUUGAUACAAAGUAUUAAUAAAAGAAAUCUACACAUGAAUGCAUAUAAUAUAAUAGCUAAGUAUGUAUUUUAAAAAUAAGUAUUCAAAUAUGUAUAUGUGGAGAAAAUUAUGNNNNNNNNNNNNNNNNNNNNNNNNNNNNNNNNNNNNNNNNNNNNNNNNNNNNNNNNNNNNNNNNNNNNNNNNNNNNNNNNNNNNNNNNNNNNNNNNNNNNNNNNNNNNNNNNNNNNNNNNNNNNNNNNNNNNNNNNNNNNNNNNNNNNNNNNNNNNNNNNNNNNNNNNNNNNNNNNNNNNNNNNNNNNNNNNNNNNNNNNNNNNNNNNNNNNNNNNNNNNNNNNNNNNNNNNNNNNNNNNNNNNNNNNNNNNNNNNNNNNNNNNNNNNNNNNNNNNNNNNNNNNNNNNNNNNNNNNNNNNNNNNNNNNNNNNNNNNNNNNNNNNNNNNNNNNNNNNNNNNNNNNNNNNNNNNNNNNNNNNNNNNNNNNNNNNNNNNNNNNNNNNNNNNACUAGCUUUUUCAGUGUACGUACGUAUCAAAAAAAUUUCUUCUUAUUUCUGUGUACUAGCUUUUUCAAUAUAUGUACUAGACUUUUCUCUACUUGUUUAUGUUGUGUUGUACUAGCUUUUGUUUUAUAUAUUUGAGUUUUCUCAACUCUCUCCACUUUCCAAACAACAAAAAUUAAUNNNNNNNNNNNNNNNNNNNNNNNNNNNNNNNNCUUACCAACAACAAAAAUUAAAUACAAUAAUCUUAGUAUAUACCAACAAAAAUAAAAUUCAAACCCGUGAAACAAAUAUACAUUGAAAAAUAUAUGAACCAAUUGGAGAGCCCUCGUCCCCGACCACGCCACACCAUUUAAUUUCGAAAUUAUCCUUAACUAGUUUUUACUUACGUACUACUACGAGUACUUAAAAAAUUGAUCAAACUUCAAAUACCAGAGCAAUUUUAAUUGAUAUAUGAAAUUCUAAAGAUUAUUAGAGAUGUCUUUCUCCAAAAAAGACAUUGAUAUCAAAAUAAUCACUGUAUACAUGAUUAAUGAUUAUGGUGAAAUACAAUGCAUAUCCCAUCACACUGAAUAACUAAUUUUAUCCAUCAUCGAUCCUAACCCGAACUUUCCUUUUCCCGUCACCGGAAUCAGAUAGCAAAUAUCACAUCGAAUCAUUCGUUGGGUCAAUUCACGGUGGAAGGGGAAGUCAGAGGAAACAGGGGAAGCAGUUCCGGGGGGUCCACAUUCCCCCUCCGUGGCGUACUCAACCGAGGAGACGGGUGCAAAUAAAACCUCUUAUCCGCUAUUGCCCUCUCCUCCUCCGUCGACGGCGACGGCGACGUCUCCGCACUGCUCGAGAAAAACGGCGAACCCAUCAUUAGCGGCGUCACUGGGCUAGCAACGGGAGAGUAAUAAGGGGAAGAACAGGGGCUAUUGCUGCUACGGAGACUCGCUCGGCUCAGCUUGAUCUCCAGCUUUCUUACCGUCUGCCGCCGUUCCUGAAGCUUGUACGGCGACCGGCGAGGCGAAUUGAUGUUGUUGAUGAGAUUAUAAUUGGUGGGUCUUGCAGCAUGAUGAUGAGUCCUUGAAGGGUGAGUCACCGGAAGCUUGGCGUCGGAGUCGGCCGCUACUCCGGUGAGCUUCUGGACGAGCUCCCGGAAAGUGGCGGCGUCGGCUUGGACGAACGUCGUCGUUGAGACUGGAGACAUCGGCGGUAGCGAAUUGGAAUUUGUGACCCCGUGGCGGCGAGUACCCAUCUGAGGUUCCAUUACAAUUGAGAUAAUGUUGAUUUUUGAAUCUUGGAGAAAGAGGUCGUUGAUGAUGAAUGUUUUUUUCAGGUGGGAUGUGUUUGUAUAUAAGAGAAAGAGAGAAGUGUGGGGGAGAUUAUUCCAAUGGUUGUUGUGAUGUGCAAAUGGGGUUGGAUUUAAGGGUGAACAUUCGGUUACGGUUUUAGGUUAAGGAAAUUAAUUGUUAAUUUUGGUUGAAUAAUUGAUUAAUUUAGAUUGGUUAAUUGGUUCAGAUAAUUUUUAUUUAGAAAAAUGAUUUAUCAAUUUUUAAUACAAUAAAAUUUUUAUUAUUUAAUAUAUUUGGGACUAUAUAAAUUAUUAGUUUAUAAUAAUGGUUAAUUAAUCGAUGAAUUAAUAAUUACUAAUUUAAAAAGAUUUUUUNNNNNNNNNNNNNNNNNNNNNNNNNNNNNNNNNNNNNNNNNNNNNNNNNNNNNNNNNNNNNNNNNNNNNNNNNNNNNNNNNNNNNNNNNNNNNNNNNNNNNNNNNNNNNNNNNNNNNNNNNNNNNNNNNNNNNNNNNNNNNNNNNNNNNNNNNNNNNNNNNNNNNNNNNNNNNNNNNNNNNNNNNNNNNNNNNNNNNNNNNNNNNNNNNNNNNNNNNNNNNNNNNNNNNNNNNNNNNNNNNNNNNNNNNNNNNNNNNNNNNNNNNNNNNNNNNNNNNNNNNNNNNNNNNNNNNNNNNNNNNNNNNNNNNNNNNNNNNNNNNNNNNNNNNNNNNNNNNNNNNNNNNNNNNNNNNNNNNNNNNNNNNNNNNNNNNNNNNNNNNNNNNNNNNNNNNNNNNNNNNNNNNNNNNNNNNNNNNNNNNNNNNNNNNNNNNNNNNNNNNNNNNNNNNNNNNNNNNNNNNNNNNNNNNNNNNNNNNNNNNNNNNNNNNNNNNNNNNNNNNNNNNNNNNNNNNNNNNNNNNNNNNNNNNNNNNNNNNNNNNNNNNNNNNNNCAAUGAAAAAUUUCUAAACACUUUGAUUCCUACAAUUUCUAUUGAUAAUACCUACAACAUAAUUUACCUUUAAUUCAUUUUAUUUUAUACAUUUAUCUUUACAAAUGUAAUAAUUUUUUUAGAACUUGUUCAAUUUUGCCUAUAGAGCAUUGCUAGUUAAAAUGUAAAUUAACAAACACAUUCUUCCAUUUCUAAUAAUUACUAAUUAUAUAUGGCCUCAUCUUCCACCUCACUUUAACAAUUGCUAAAGUUUGGAGAUGGAAAUACCCUAAUACUUUGAGAUUUAUUUUAACAAAACAAAAUUCUCUAAUGACUAUUCUUCAUAUAUUCAUACCUAUUUUAACCAAAACCGGUCUUAAUUGUGACCUACCUCGGUCGGUCAGUUGACAAUUAAUUAAUCGAUCAAUCAGUGAAUCUAUUUCAGUUGACGUACAAAAUAUAGUGGAUAAUUAAGUGCCCGACCGAAACACGGCCUUUGGAUUUGGGUUGGGUGGUUUGUUUCUAUUUGGGGGGUUAUAUGAUUAAAAUGAAUUGGUUUGAAAUUUGGUAGCAAGUGUUUAGAGUUUAGGAGGUUGAGGGUAGUCAACCUAUUGGGGAGGCAGGCAUUUGUAUCAACUGUACGUUUGUAUCAACUUAGUUGUUUUGACUGAAACAAUUUAGUUUAUAUAAAAUAAAAUUAGUUAUUAAUGGGGGAGGGGAUGGGGCGUUGACAAAACGACGUGUCUUAUUAUUAAUUAGGGUGGGGAGUGAGCACAAGAAGGAAGACCAAGCAUUGUUUGACUCGGUGAGAGUUGUUUAAUUUAGUGUAUGAUGAAACGGUCAAGUUGACUCCUAGUGUAUACGCGUCAAAGAGAAGGGAUCGUUGAUGUAGGGGGGUUCCCGUCAAAGAUCCAUAAGCUAUGGCCUAUAGGUAUCUUCAACUUUGAUAAUACCAUAUUUCAUGCUUGGAGGUAUCCGUAUAUGUUUGAAUUAAUUAUAUUAGGGUUCGCAGAGUUCAAAAAAUCGUUUCAUUAAGUGUUGAUGAUGGGUUAACUGUCAUAGUCGAUAUGACCCAACCGGCUCAAGUUUAACUCAAAUUCAAAUUUAAUUUAAGGAUUAAAAACUUAAACAAUUUUUGUGGGCAUAUGUUCAAUUCUCAAAACAAACGGUUUAACCGUGAUCAGGGUUGGAUAACGGGUAGACGUCUCGUUGGAUAAUGAGCGAAACAAGCAAGAAAAUAGCUCUUUUCAAUAGGAAGUCUCCAAAGCUCACAACCGGAUAUCAUCAUCGCCGAUGAGGUGGCAGAGGAGAAAAGAUAGACAGGAGGAAGAGAAAGAAGGAGUCUGCACAAUACAGAGUUGGAGGAGAGAGAAAAUAUUUUAUUUAUAAAAAAUUUAAUUUUAAAAUUAGUAUUUUUUUAAUUNNNNNNNNNNNNNNNNNNNNNNNNNNNNNNNNNNNNNNNNNNNNNNNNNNNNNNNNNNNNNNNNNNNNNNNNNNNNNNNNNNNNNNNNNNNNNNNNNNNNNNNNNNNNNNNNNNNNNNNNNNNNNNNNNNNNNNNNNNNNNNNNNNNNNNNNNNNNNNNNNNNNNNNNNNNNNNNNNNNNNNNNNNNNNNNNNNNNNNNNNNNNNNNNNNNNNNNNNNNNNNNNNNNNNNNNNNNNNNNNNNNNNNNNNNNNNNNNNNNNNNNUGUACAUCCUUUCUAUUUUACCCUUCUUCAAUUAAGAUGACGAUCUAAAAACUCUUAGUCGACCCAUUUUCUUGUUAAUAUAUUACUCUCAUAUUCAUAUAGUCAUUUGAUCGGGUCUCAUGUAUACUAUAUUAGAGCAUCUUCAUCCCAAAAUUUUAACAAUUACUAUGGAGGGUGAGGUGACACCUAAUUAACAAUUAAUGAUAUAAUGAUGAAUAGAAAUUGCUAUUGAUGGAGGUGACUUGAAAUUGUUCAUUAAAAGAAUUGUCGAAGUUGCUUAUAUGGCGAUGUGAACACAAUUAAAAUUGCUAGAUGAAUUUUGUGAUAGAGAUGAGCUUAGUCUCCAUAAUUUUCUAACAUUUAAAUAUACUUUAAGUUUUCACUAGAUUGUCCAUUUAGAGUUACUGCAGUAGUAGAGCAUUGCUAUUGGCUAUUUCUAGUUUCAGUAAAAGUAGUAAAUCGAAAGAGAGUUUUGACAAAGAGGAAUACUAUUUGACGCCCUAAUUUUUGAAUAAAACGAUGUCCUAGACUUUGUAAAGAUGGCAUUGUCCAAAUUUACUUAGUCGAAAAAUUCUCUCACGGUACAUUAUUCUCUACAGUUCUGUAAAUUUUUGCCGACCAGACCAAAAUUUUGGCCGAAAAACCAUCCGGUCGGCUGGGCCUCCUCAGCGGCCUGAUGGUCUUUCGGCCGGAAUUUUGGUCCAUCCGGUUCAAGUUUAUUUUUUAAUUUUUUUUAAUGAUCUCCUUUAAUUGUUUUUCAAGUAAUCACAUUCGUCACAAGGUUUUAACGCUCGUUGGAUGCACUAACUCGUCAUGAGUAAUUCGGUAACUGGUCGUUAAUUUUAUUGGAGAAAUAAGUGAAUGAAUACAUAGAUGUGUAGAUAAUUGAUAAAUGUAGCGUACGUUUUUUGUGUUUAUAUUGUAGGGAGAUUUACUGUUGAAUAAGGGUGACAGAAUCAAUAAUAUCGAUAGAUUUUUAUCCAACGAUGUUUACGAUACUUUAGAGGAAGCUUGUGAAGCUGCAAAGCGAAUUGCCUAGUCGAUUAAUGUCAAGUUGACUAAAGGAUCCAACAAAAUAAACAAGGUAUAACGCGAGUAUUGGGUGUAUCUGUAUUGCUCCCGUAGGCCUGCUCGAAAUCGUAGGGUUUUGACCCACCAAAACGGAUGUCGAAGACCAAGAAGUGUGAUUUCCCCUUCAAAGUGGCAUUGAGGUACCGUGUGGUAGAAGGCGAGUGGAAGUUCUGGAUUGACGGGGUAGGCCACACCAACAAUCCUGCACAACCAAAAGGAUACAACAAUCAUUUUUUCUUGCCAUAUCCUGAAGUUAGCACAGAAACCAAUGCCCUUAUAAGUGAAGAGAAGAGCAAUAGUAGGGACAUGGUUGCAACUCAUAUACAACCGGAUAAGAUCAGGUAUGCUCUGAACAAAAAGUUCACCACUCAUCGGGUGGGUUUCCAGCCUAAACCGAAAACUAUCGGUUUACUGGGCCUUCACUCCCUUUUUUUUGAUUUCGUACCUGAAUAGAAGCUCCAAAUCUUCAAUUUUUCUUUCAGAUAUUCGUUUGUGAGUGUUUGAGUUUGUAAAUAUACACAAUUUUUUAUAUGAAUUUCGAUUUUACAAAAUGACAAUAUCAUAAUUUACUCAAUCUUAUUUAAUUCGAAAGCUACGGAAGAUUCAAUUGACAAAUUACGUCGCUAGUCGGCGCCUAGCCGGGGUUAGACGUACAAACAAGUUACGCCAUCCAACUCCGUGUGGAAAACAAAACCCACAAGAAGAAAAAAUCAGGGCACGGCAAGUUUUUCGUGGCGAAAGUUGAAAGAUCAAACCCCCCAUGUGAUUUAUUUGAGAGAUCCGAAAUCGAAAGCUCCAUUUCUUUCCGCAUUUUAUCCAUUUUUCAUUGCAAUUCCCUCCUAUUUUGCUUUGCAAUUCACUCGGGUUUAGAAGAAGAAGAAGAAGAUAUGAGUAUGUCGAGUUGCUUCUGUUGCGGUAGUGUCAUGCCGGUGAUUGGGACUAAAUCGCCGACCACCACGACUAUAUCUACACGUUCUUCUGCCGGUAAAUCGCCAAUUCACCCACUUGGUACUGUGGCCGGGACGGUUUCAUGUAGGGUUCCAAUAGUCAGGGCUUCUGCCGUGGAUUCGUAUGGGAACUCCUCUGAUUUCACUAAACGUAUGGAGCAGGCUUGGUCAAUAUCUAAGGUAAGCUCCUCAGUUUAGGGUUCUUCACGAGCUAGGCCGGUCAGAUUCUCAAUUUUCUAAUCGAAGAUUUUUGCCAUCUUGGAUUGGAUCUUGAAUUGCACAACUGUGGAAUCGGAUGGAAAUUAGCAUGUAUGAUAUUUUGAAGCAGAACAUAGGUGUCAAAUGACCAUUGCUACGACAUUUCAGUCCAUUGAUUCGCCUGUUGUGAUUAUUUCCCCUUCCAGUUAGGGUUUAGGGAUUAUGUGAUUGAAUUUAAGUGAUUCAGCAAAAGAAGGAAAAUGGUGCAGCUAGUUGGUUGAACUGAUUUGAAUUUCUUGUUUAAAACAAGUUUAGCUCGACUACAGACCUGAAGCCUGGCUGCAUGGACUUCCUAAUCAUUGUGCUACGAGUUAGUAUGUUACUGUUUGUUCUAAAAGACAAGCUCAAGAGCUGCUGCUGUUUGUAAAGUUACUGGGUUUUUGUUGUUGAUGUUUCACUAACCGAGCGAUCACAAUGAUUGCAGCAACCAAGGCCAGUACCAUGUACUUGUUGCGAGUCGAAUGGCAGCGUUGAAUGCCAAUGGUGUAGAGGAACUGGUUUCUUCAUUCUAGGUGAUAACAUGCUGUGUCAAGUCCCUUCCAGAAACACCACUUGUGUUAUUUGUGCCGGCAAGGUGAUAAUUUCCUCAUUUUGAUAAUCUCUGAAUUGCAGCUAGCACAAACUACCAGAACUGAUGUAAGCCUUGUGAACGAUAUCGUGAUAUUUCAGGGGUCCAUGCGUUGCGGUGAGUGCAAGGGAACCGGGUUUCGUGCCAAGUGGUUGGGCAAAUCAGAACCCCCAGGUUCUACCUGAAUCACUGUUGCUGCAGGGUGCAGCUCGGAAACAAGCUUCCAAGUGAUUCAAAUAUUUUUUUCCACAAUCAGGGUUUAUUCAUUGGACUCUUAAGUUCGAUUUCAGCCUGCAACAUUAGAAAUGUAUAUUUUCCACUUGUCUGGCAUCAUCAUUCUUUAGUCUUUACCAAUUCUAUUUUUAGAUGCCUGUCCAGCAAUUGGUACCUGUAUUAAUUAGUACAUACACGAAGACGCUAGGACAAAGAAAUGACAACAAAGAUCGGCAUACUACAAUGCAGAUUGGCUCUAGUUAAUACCGACAUUGGCACGGGGACAUCUUUGGCAAAACCACCAUUGUCUUUCGUGUCGAUAUAGUUAUUUAGUCGUUGCUUUGCACAAUGGCUGAGAAGAGCAAUUUGUUGAUGUCCUGACCAUCCGUGUCCUGUAAUUCAUUUCCUGCAUUAUCGACAUAACUAAUCAAUGGACAGCAGGUCCUCAAAAGUGACCAUCUGUGAAGAAAUUCAGAAGCAGAAUGACCAUCCUGGAACUUUAUAUGUAGAGUAAAAUGGCCAAUAUUUUCAAUUAAAAUCUGGUUAUCUUGAAUUCCUAAGCUACCCAUCAUCAACAAUGAAAUGAGGGUUCCAGAUUCUUACCAGUUCUUGAUCGUACUUGAGUCUUCCACUCAUCAAUUACCUGAACAACACAAAUAAAUGAAUGGUUCAUACAAAAGAUAAUCUCCUGUCACAGAUACAGAUACUGAAAAGAAAAGACUCAACAAAAGACAAGUAGAGGUUUGACAUGAUAUCAGGUUCAGUCCUAUAGAGGAUUUGACACUGAAAGAAAAAAUAUCCAAUAUCAUCUGUUUAAGGCUGCUUUCUGGUCCAAAGCUUCAGAUAUAGUUGAAUGAAUGUAGGUUACGGGUUGCCUCCUCCCCAGAAAUUGUGCGAACACUCUACACAUAGCACUUGGAAACUAACUUUCUAAAAUUGUUCUGAAUGUCGUAGAGAAGUGUUGCAUUUUUCGCACUAGUACCUGAUUGAAGUCGGUAAAUGCAGAAUCCUCUUCGACAUUUGUAGGAGGGAUACCAGUUGAUACUUGCAUCCGAUUUAUGACAUUGUUGCUCCCCAAAAGAGUUGCACGAGCUUUAUCAAUCAAAUCCUGCAGAAACAUACCCAAAGUACUAGUCCUGAUCAGUAUUCACAUCUACCAAAUUAACCAUGGUGAAGUAUAUAUAUAUGCUUAAAUGAAGACAAUGCCAGCUAAGAACACAAACUGAUUGUGCAACUGCUUUCAGAAUAAGUAUUGAUUUCGAUUUCAAUCCCAGAAGGACAAGCCUUGCAGUUGAAUUUUGAUGACCUUUGGAAGGUUAAUACUAAGAAAAGAUCAGCGAAGCAGUGAUUACUGAUUAGUCUCAUCCCAGAGUUAGAUCAAAUAAGUAGAAGAUAGAACCUGCUUCGCAGCAAGUAGCUCACGGCACCGAUCCAUUAACUCUGUAACUUCGUCUUGUACCUUCUUUAUCCUGUUAACCAGCUUUACCGGAUUUGCCUGCACACAGAAGCACAGACUAAUUAGCCGAUUAAUCGAUCCAUGAUCCAAUUACCGAACCAAGGAGUUCGAGCAACAAACACAGCAAAAUCUCGCCAGAUGAGCGGAUAAUCGAAAAACUAAGAUACAUUUGGUUUCGACCAACUUACAUUGUCUGGAUAAGUCCGUUGAAACUCCUUCUCGAGCUUAGAUUGAACAGCUGCGAGAUCAUGGUGAGCUUUCGUCAACAGAUUGACCAGGCCGUCUGCCGCUUGGUUAUGCUCAUGAUGGUGACGAUGCCCCAUUUUCCUCCUUACUUCUUUCCAGGGUUUGAAUUCGUAAUUUCGAUUUUCGAUUGAUUUACGCGCCCAGCUUCCGGAUUUUGAUUUUUGUGGAAUUCUCCGGCACCUUAAAUUCAACGGUUGAGAUUGCUCCCUGCUCUUUGACAUGAAACGAUGUCGUUUCAAGCUUUCGUACAGCUUUGUUUCUUUUUCUCUGUUCAGCGGAUCAGAGAAUUUGCGGGGGAAGAGAUGGCGAACGAAGACGAAGAGAAAGCUCUGGAGAAUCAGCUAGAAGAGCAGUUACAUGAACUGAGAGACUCCCUUGCCGAUCUUGAAGACGCUCUUUCUUCUGAUUCUUCCAAUUCUGAGCUGCUCUCUGUAAGAAUAUACGAACGCGAAUUCAAAACUUUUCGCUUUAGGGUUUCCUGAGAGGUUUUUGCGCCGUGAGAAUUGGCUACGUUGUUAAAUACUUAAAUUGGUUUCUACAUUUGGGGUUUCUUCAGGUUCAGGAGGAGCUUGUUCAGUCGAUCAAAGAAGCGGAGGAUGGGCUUCUUCACCUUAAACGUGCUCGGUUGUUAAGGCAAGUGGAUGUAACAGCAGCAGCACUUCGGAGCUCCAGUCGAAUUCCCAACGAUGUUGAAGUGGUGCAUAUUGACGAUACAGACGGUGAAGCAGCAACACUUCAGAGUUCCAAUCCGAUCGGGGGUAAUGUUGAAGUAGUGCAUAUUGACGAUACAGAUGGAGAAGCAGAACCAGUAGAGAAGGACACAGAUGGAUUUUCUGUUGGAUCCAAGUGUAGGUUCCGUUCUGCUGAUGGGCGGUGGUAUAGCGGAAAGAUCAUAGGGUUUGAAGGUUCUGACGCUGCGAAGAUAUCUUUCCUCACACCUACUUCGGAUAACAUGCUGGUGGGUGGUUCAUUCUUCUUUUUCUAAUUCCGUAGGUUGCUUUAUUAUUCUCUGAAAUGGAACGCCUUUGGCAUUUCUAAUCAUCCUUUCACUCUUUUUUUUAUUGAUGUGUGAUUCUCGUGGGUGAUCUGUGCACUGUUCUUCUGUGCUGGUUUCCAAGUUAUACUAGCUACAAUCUGAAGUAAAAGCUGAUGGUUUUGUAGUCAUGAUACUAAUGGUCGACUGCCCAAGUGCAGAUGUGCAAGUUUUUCCGGCAACAAAGAUGUCGAUUUGGUACUGUUUGCCGCAUGUCCCAUGGUAUGUUGCAUUUUACAUUGCUGGCACAUGGACCAGUGGAUUCUUAAACUCAAUACUUGGGAUCGAACUUCUGUUUUCAUUGAAUUCGAAGUUGGAGUCAUAUGCAAAAGACCUAUGUGCAGUUUUCUGACAAAAGGGACAUUCUUUUUCUUUGAAUGUUGGAUAUUGUUUUGGGAUUAGUCUUGGCAGAGCCCUGCCGCUUUGUUAUUCUUAAAGUGAUUGAAUCUAUGACUGAAUGCUUUACUUGAAACCUUUGUGAACUCGUUUGGUUUGUUCCUGAUUAAGCCUCUAACGUUAAGAUACAGUACCACGCUUUUACACUUUUGACACUCUUAAUUUAGCGAAAUCUUCACCUAUUUACCAUUUUCCUAGUUCCAUGCUUCCGUAUGUGUUUUUUGCUGCACACAUUUUCUCUUUUGCUAUUAUAUCGACCAUUUUUCAAGCUGAUGUAAAUUUGUGUAUGCAGGGGUUGAUGUGCCACUGUCUUCCCUGAGGGAGUAUGUUCCAACAGUCUGGGAUCAGUCAUUUGUGGGGUCCAGCAUUUUUGCAAUAACUAACCGAAGUGUUGGUAUUUGGAGAGAAGCAGAGCUCCAAUCUUGGGAUAAUGAACUCGGGAUGGGAAAGGUUGUUUUCCGUGAUGAUGGGAGCUCUGCUAAGCUUCAGCCUGAAGAUAUGUCAUUAUCUGAUUAUGGACUAGUCAGCGAGGAAGAAGAUGGUGAUGAUACAAGCUCAGAACAAUCCGAUUCAAGUGAUCGUGAAGAAGAAGAAGAAGAAAGCCCCGGAGGCUUGGGAUUUCUUGGGAGCACCAACCAACAAAGAGGCAUCCAAAAGGAAACUGCGAUAUUUGCGAAGUGGGAGAAUCACACCAGGGGUAUAGCUUCCAAGAUGAUGGCAAAUAUGGGUUACCGCGAAGGAAUGGGUUUAGGAGCAUCGGGGCAAGGAAUGGUGAAUCCGAUUCCCGUGAAGGUCCUUCCGGCUAAGCAGUCACUUGAUCAUGCUUUAGAAUCUCAAAGAGGAGGUGAAGAGAGCAACAAGGGAAGUCGUGGAAAGAAGCGAAGCAGAGGUGGGAAGAGAAAACGUGAAAAGAAGUUUGCUGAGGCAGCUAGGGCAGCAAAGGCCUUGGCGAAGAAUCAAGAAGAAACUAGACCAGACGUCUUCAGCUUCAUUAACAACCAACUCGCGAUGAAUGGUGUGUCGGCCAAGAAGGAACAAAGAAAAGGUUCAGGGGAGAAAAAAAUGGACAGACGAGCUCUGGUUGCUCAUGAAGACGAGAUGAAUGAUUUGAGAAUACAAGUAGAACGGCUGGAGGAGAUGGCAAAUAGAAACAGGAAGGAGAAGUUAGUUUAUGAAGCCACCAUUAGGAGGUUAAACGAAGCUCGGAAAGCCUUGGAAGACGCUCAGGCUACUCAUGCUUCUGCCACUUUUGCCAUUGUUAGCAAAGAGCAAGAGAAGAAAUGGCUCAAGUUUUGAGGGGUGUCAUUGUUUCAUAUAUUGGCUUAUAUAUUUAGUGUCUGUACUUCUACGAGUGACUUACUUCAAUAAUUAUUAGUCUGAGAUUUUCAUUCGAGUAGUUGACUUACACAGUUAUGAACAUCAACACUACCACUCAAGCUGGUCAGUGAAUGUUUUCAUUCCCAACUUGAACACAAAUAGGUCUUUGUAGUCCCCUAGUGAGAAUCUUUGCUAGAUGUCCACACGUAUACAUGUGGGCAGUGAUGAUAUCCACCCACUGUCAGUCAAUCUGAAGUUGCAGUCUGGUUCGAUAUGAAAUGUGGUCAUGGCAGCAUGCAGUAGCGUGCAAUAUGGUGCAAUAUGCUUUGACCUUGCGUGAAACACUAAAUUCUUAGUUUGGGAGUGCUGUGAAUAAAAAAUCUGGGGUCUAAUUGCUGUGAGCAAAGAACGGUGUCGUCUCAUCUGUUUGGGAGAAGCCCUUACCAUGAGAGAGAGAGCCCCAUCUCCGGUUUAUUCUCAGAAUCAAACGGGUGGGGGAGUUUGAACAGAGAACUGCAGGCGAAGAGGAGAAAUUCGCAAGUCUUAAACCCCAAAAACCCUAGCUAGAAUAAUCAUAAUAAUUCAAAACAUUCAUUGGAGAGAUGAAGGUAGCCGUGGAAGGCUGUAUGCAUGGUGAUCUUGAAACAGUUUACCAGACACUCCAGCACCUCGAGAAGUUGCACGAUACCAAAAUCGACCUUCUCCUUUGCUGCGGCGAUUUUCAGGUUUCUUCCUUUCCUAGCAUGUUCCUCCAGUGAUUUUCUACUUAGCUCGUGUUUUUCAUUUUGAUUGUGUUUCCCUCCAGGCGGUGAGGAACGAGAGAGAUCUUCAGAGCCUGAAUGUACCGCCCAAAUAUCGAGAGAUGAAGUCUUUCUGGAAGUACUACUCCGGCCAGGAGGUCGCUCCCAUUCCUACGAUUUUCAUCGGUGGAAAUCAUGAAGCUUCCAAUUACUUGUGGGAACUGUGAGUGCUGGGGGUGUAGUAACUUUGCUUCUGUUCAGUUUGUUGUUAUAUGUUAGGUGGUUGCUGGAGUGAUAUGGUUUAGGUUUUCUACCUCAGAUACUAUGGGGGAUGGGCAGCUCCUAACAUUUUCUUUAUGGGCUUUGCUGGAGUGGUCAAGUUUGGUAACAUUCGUAUAGGUGGCCUUUCUGGGAUUUACAAUGCCAGGGACUAUCAUAGAGGUCAGUCUUUCUUAUGUAUCAGGUCUCAAGCGUUGCAAAGAGAUGUUCGAGUUACAUAUGGUUAGAAACUAGUCGUAGUAGUUCUAGUUAUAAAAUUAGUUGAAUUUCGUGUUGGAUGAGCAGGGCAUGAUGAGAGACCACCGUAUAAUGAAAAUUCUAUAAGAUCCAUUUACCAUGUUCGUGAAUACGAUGUACAUAAACUCAUGCAAGUAGAAGAACCCAUUGACAUCUUCCUUUCACACGAUUGGCCUCUUGGCAUCACUGAUUGCGGUGAUUGGCAGCAACUUGUUCGUUUCAAACCGUUCUUUGAAGCAGAGGUAAUUCUAACUUUUGCAAAUUCGUUUUGCAUGUUCCAUUGUUUAUUCAGUAUUUUAGUGUUGUUUGUUCUUUUUAACAUUUGUAGAUAAAGGAAAGGACCCUUGGAAGCAAAGCUGCUGCUCAGCUAUUAGAAAAGUUGAGGCCCCCCUAUUGGUUUUCAGCUCACUUACACUGCAAAUUUGCUGCCCUUGUCAAUCAUGGGUCAAGUGGCCAGACAACGAAAUUUCUUGCACUCGAUAAAUGUCUACCAAAGAGAAGGUUCUUACAGGUAUUUAUUUACUUGUCUUUGAUGAUUUUCAUGGCUCAUGUUGUGAACCUUACCGUGAAAAUCAUUUUGUAGAUUAUUGACAUAGAGUCAAAUCCAGGACCUUUUGAGAUCCAGUACGAUGAGGAAUGGCUAGCAAUAACCAGGAAAUUUAACUCUAUUUUUCCAUUGACAUAUAAAAAUCCUAACUUUAGGUAGGUUUAUCAUCGUACUUAUCUCUUCAUGCCGCUCUAAAGUUUGUCAUUCUCUUCUACGGUUAUUAAAUCUUGCGUUAGUGAUCUUAUAGGGAUACGACGUUGGAGCUCCAAGAUUGUCGUGAACUGGUCAAGAACAAACUACAAGCUAGAGGAGCUAAACCGUUUGAAUUUGCACGUACUGUUCCUGCUUUUGAUCCCAGUCAAUCUAAAGUAAAGGGCUCCCCUGGUAGUGAUGGUAAUGAUGGCUGAUCAAGUAAUUUUAGUUAUGUUAGAUAUCUAUCAUAGCCUGUAGACCCUAAAAUCAUUGCUUUUUUCUGUGUCGCACUUAUUUCUUAAAGUGUUUGAUUGAUUAGUAUCAGUAGCUCCAUGGACAUGCCUGCGUGUUAGUCAUGUCUGUAUCUAAAGAAGUUCUGGUUGACGUAUUGCAGAUUGUCCUAGGAAUCCCCAGACAGAGUCCUUCCUGCAGCUUUUGGAGCUACCAUAUCUGCUAGACAGUGGAUACAUACAUAAAGGAAGCGUUAAUGAUGACAAAACUGGUGUAGUGAUCCGUAAAGGUAAAUAUGACUUUCUAGCACAUUCCUAUAUUGAACCUCUCUUAUUUUCAGUUAUCCUAAUCAAAUGUUUUGAUGUUCUGUAAAAAGUUACUAUAGGAUAUUUUCAUUUGACAAGUUCAUUCUUCAGUUCACCUUUUGGUCUGAAUUCCCUUGUAUUUCAGUCAGCACUUCUGCAUGCUCUUACUGUUCCAACUACACUGAUAGAUUUGUAAUCAUUUGAAGUUUUCCUGUCAUCAUAGUCAGUAAACUCCUUGAAUGUCUAACGCUAAAACCCAGCAUGUAAGAAAAAUUAACCAGUUACCAAGAAGCCUGCAUUUUUUAAACUGUUUUUACAAAAUGUGUAGGUCCUUACGGUGAUGAUCCUGAAGUGAUACCUCUAGAUGAUGUUGAUGAUACAGAUGAAGAGUCCGAGAAGGAUGACCCAGAAGCUUCAGAUGAAUAGCUUUUUGGGACACCGGACAGAGCUGUAAGGAAUUUCUUAACACUUUUGUAUCUUGUAUUAUAUGAUUGCGUUAUCUACAGUUUCUUCCUCAGUAUGUCAAGAAUGAUUGGAUUAUAGGUCUUGUCUACAUAACAUGUAAUUUAUAUAAAUAUCCUGAAGAGAUAGUUUAGAAUUGGCUGAAUUAAUUAUACAUACUACAAUCCUGUUCAGGUUGCUCCUUUUGAUGGCUCUGCUCUGCUUCAGCGUGUUGCUAUUGUCGGUGGGCGUGUAAUGCAGAGAUUUUUGUGGGUUUGGGUUUUUGUACAAUGAAGAGUCAAAUCCCAGUUGGGAGUGGGAAGUUUGCCAUGAGGAGUGUAAUAAAUGAAUUGGGUAAGAGCGAGCUGGCAAGUGAAGUGGAAAAUUUAAAUUGAGUGGGCACAAGACACUUGCUGCUGUCAACUUUUAUUUGAGUAGAAGGAACAGUAGCAAUGAUGGAGGACUGAACAGACUCUUGGAAGGAUGUAGGCGACCAUCCCGAUUUUGAUUAACAAGGUGGAAAAGUUGCCAGAACAGGUGUGCAAGGUGGCAAAACGUUUUUAGCUACAGGCAGAUGUGAACUGUCCUUUGAAGUAUUAAAGGUUUAGAAACCAAGUAUCAACUUUCCUCACUGUACCUUUUGUUUUCAUGAAUGUACACCAUAUGCUGCAACCCUUGUAGAUAGUAACUCUUUCACAGCAACCUUGUUAUUCAAUGUCGGUGUUGCUGAGUACUACGAUAUACACCUUAAAGCGAGACUUCUACCGAAGCAUUAUGCCUCUUGAACAACUCGUGCAAAUGCUACAUUACAUGCUAAUUGUUUACCCAUCAAGUGUAAUGUUGCUGUUGGAACACAGACCAGGCUCUUGCUUUUCAACUGCUGAGGAAGUCAACCGUAAAAAGUAGCACGUAUUAACGAGGAGACAGGCCAGGGAGGAGCUUUUACUGCAGCCAGUGAAAGAUCAGUGGAUAGUUGAGAUUCCAAGGUAUCCGUAUCAUAAUCCUACUGGCUACUACAACUAAGCCAUCUUCCCCCACCCAACUUCUUCAACCAGUCUCAUUAACACCGUACGACCAAAUUUUUUUAUCUAUCCUUGAUGGAGCGGGGGGCCUCUGGUUGAUGGGUCAGGACGAAAGUCAACUGCUCCAACCACCUAGGGAGUCUAACCGCCUAGGCUUCAAUGGCCCUUUCGGAGCAUGGAUAGCCUAAUCCAGCCACAGUAUGUCUCUGCUCGAUAGGAUUUGGCUCGUCGCAACUAGGGUACUACUCAAAGGCUACGUGGUAACAUUGUUGCGGACCGCCUCAAUUGAAGGGCUAAGAUCACUCUGAUCAAGUCAAACACUAGGAUGAAGUCACACUGCCCAACCCUAGUAUUAUAAAUACGAUCCUGCAACCACUACUGGAGGGACAGACAUAAUUGAAGCUCGGUACAUAUUGACGUAUUCUCUUAACAUUCUUACGUCACCUUAUGAAAUCACUACAACACAAUGCAUUUACCGCGAAGGACCCAAAAAGCCGCCACUCUAGACGAAAUGGGUUGAACCAUCCUCCAACAGUCUUUUUUUGUCUCCACCGUAAGAAAUUAGCAGGCUGCCUGCUGAUGUUGAGGACUCACAGUUACAGCUUCUCUGUCGAUCUGAUAGAUAUGGUUACAAAAAAGAGAGAUCAGCAUAAUAACAAGCCACAUUUACCCACUUGCUCCUGACAUCUUCCAUAAAUGCACCACCUUUGAAUGCUUUCCUUCCUACUACUUCCUUCCUUCUUCACCCAACAUAUACAAAACAAAACCAAGUUUCACUCACUACCAAACUGUACCUUAAGUUUCCACUUUCCAGUAAUGGAUUCUUCAUCAACCUCACCGGUCCCAUUUCUGCUCCUUAUUCUCAUUCUCCCCAACUGUUCUUCUGCGACACUGUCCUUCGACUUCUACUCAUCCUCCUGCCCUGCCGUCGACAUGAUUGUAUCCAACACAGUCAGGACAGCUUCCUCCGACGACCCAUCUAUCCCCGGGAAGCUCCUCCGCUUGCUCUUCCACGACUGCUUUGUUGACGUAAGUAAGACCAUAGAUAAAGAUUCAGACUUUAAUUAAUUUGCUGCUUCCAAACUUACUGGAUAAUUAUAAAGGUACAAUCUUUUUCCAGGGUUGCGAUGGAUCUGUGCUUCUGGAAGGGAACUCGACGGAGAGGAGUGACCCGGCUAACGGGUCGCUCGGAGGGUUCGAAGUGAUCGAUUCGGCGAAGAGGGUGCUGGAGGUGUUCUGCCCUGGCAUUGUAUCUUGUGCUGAUAUUCUGGCUCUGGCUGCCAGAGAUGCGGUUGUAAUCUCUGGAGGACCGAAUACUCAAAUUCCGACUGGGAGAAGAGAUGGUUUGGUUUCCUCGGUGUUGAAUGUUAGACCAAACAUUGUGGACACUAGCUUCACCAUGCCUGAAAUGGUCAAGAUUUUCUCCUCCAAAGGUCUCUCUCUUGAUGACCUCGUCAUUUUAUCUGGUAAGUCUAUUUGCCCCACUCCACUCUCGAUCUCAAACAUUGAAAUUUAUAUAUUAGUGAUUUUUUUCAAAUUUGGUCGAGUGUAUUUUUAACUUCGACUUAGUGUUUGACCAUAAACCGAAUAAGGAGUCAUGAAGAGUUUCCACUCUCUUUUCUCAGUUUUGAAUACUAAAUCAUAUAUAAAAUUUAGAUAUUUUCAUUAUUUAACUAAAUUAUAUAUAAAGUUCUAUUCUCUUAUUUAUUUGCUUCGAACAUAUAUCUAUUAAAUUCAAUUGUUACCAUAAUCAACUACUAACCAUACAAAAUAGACCAAAUUCAGAAAAACUAAACCCCGGGUGGCACGUUGAAAUCGGCUAAAAACUAAACCCCGGGUGGCAUGAAUAGUUUUUUUGUAUACAUUAACUUAGACUUUGUUUCUACUAAAAGUGGCCAUUGUUAAGGUUUAGGGGGAAGGUUUGUCGGUUUGUUUCGCCAUAGUUAGGGUUUAGGGGCAAGUUUGUCGGAUUUGAUAAAUCUGAUAGAAUUAGGGUUGUUAUUUUGUGGCCGUGGAAAAAAUAUUAAUUGGUUGGAUGUGCAAAAUUAAAUCCAAUUCCAGCUAUUUGGCUCAUUAAAAUAGGUUUAGGAAAAUGAAUUCGUCAUUCUAUUAAAAAAAUUCAAUAACAUUAGAAAUUUUCGAUACAUGUUUCAAUCUUCGUGAUACCCCGAUACAUUGAGUAAGUUUUGGAGCUUAAUUAAUAAGGAGGGCUUGUUUGUUUUUUUUAAACUUCAGGAGCUCACACAAUAGGAUCAGCCCAUUGCGGAGCAUUCAUCGACCGGUUCCACAAAGAUCCCAAAGGGAAACUGAAUGGGAUCGACUCCUCAUUGGACGCUAACUACGCAAAGGACUUGAUCCAGAAAUGCCCAGCCGGAGCCAAUAACCCAUCACUAAAGGUUGCGAAUGACCCCGAAACCUCGUCGGUGUUCGACAACCAGUAUUACAGGAACCUGUUGGGACACAAGGGUCUUUUCCAGUCAGAUUCAGUGCUGUUGGAGGACAAACAGGCGAGUAAGUUGGUGCGAGAUUUGGCAGCAGACGAGGAGGCGUUUUUCGAGAGGUGGAGCGAGUCGUUUGUGAAGCUUACUAGUGUCGGUGUGAAGACCGGCGAGGAAGAAGGAGAAAUUCGAGCUUCUUGUUCCGUUACUAAUAGUAAUAUGAAUAAGAAGAAGUGAUUAUUUGACACGGUUGGAGUUAGUUGAUUAAUCACAUUUUUUCGUACAUAUGUUAUCACUCAGUUUGGACUAAAACGUGAUGUUUUCGGCAGUUGGAACUUGGAAGAGUGCGAAUGUAAGGUUCACUAGAAGGAUGAAAUAUUUUCCUAAUUAGGGAGCUACUCCCAUCAUGAGUAGAAGUGGAAAUCGGGCGAGAAUGAGACCCGCUCUCGAAUUUUUAAAAUCUCAAUUCUUGACUUUUGUAUAAGAUCUCGAUCUCAUUUCCGAAUUAAGAGUUCCGAUUUGUUCGAAAAUUGGGACCCCAAAUAGUUAUUUUUUCCGAAAUGAAAUACUGCGAUUGUCAAUUUUAUGAAAUCAUAAAUAAGUUGACUUACAUAAUUUUCAAUACUUUAAGUAUAAUCCUGCAACAUACUGCUACUCCAAAGUCGAAGGUCUACUUAAAUACAAUCCAAAUACAAAGCAAUUUCAUUUCAAAAGGCACUGCUACUGCUAUUUCAUUUCUAUUUGCUGCUAUCUCAUUAAGUUUCUUAUUGUAAUAAGGGAGUUGAAAGAAGGAAGGAGAUAGGACUUAGGAGGUUGUAAUAAGGGAUGUGUUAGUUUGAGUUAGGUUGUUUCGAGUUAAAAUUAGAUGAAAUUCAAUUUUAUGAGUUGAUAACAAAAUCCAACUCAUUGAAACCCAUAUUUUUAUAAACGGAAAGAACUCUCAAUAUAUCACGAACUAUUUCGCAAAAUUUAAAAUAUACAUUAAUUAUGGGUAAUUGUAUUCGUGUCACAAACCAUUCAUUUUCCGCAAACUUCCAUAUCACGCCGUCCUCACCAUAUUAGUUGUCCGUCAUGCAUCUACUGACGUAUAAUUAUAACCGCUCACCGGACAUUCCACUUAUCCAUUCAGCGGCAAACUAAUUCUUAAUCCCACAAAAUCCCUCUGACAUUAUGUCUUAGCUUCCAUCCCUAAUUCUUAAUCCCACAGAAUUCCGUAUCGGACACGGAAACAGAGCAAUCCGUAGCCGGCAGCGGCAAAGGUGGCGUCGAGUCCGAUUUCGUCGCGGGUGGCCAGUGGUUAACGACACGGCAACUGCAGCCGCCGGAAACAGAGAAGAAAACGAGGUCGGGAGAUGGCCUGACAGCGGCGGAUUUCUUCUUGGGUGGUAGUUGCCUGGACGAUUUCUUUCUGGGAGAAUUGGGGAGCUUUGGCUGUGCUGAUGAACUUGGUGGUGAUGAUUUGAGCUCUCUGGUAAAAUAAUAAGACUUCCUCGUUCCAGUCGGAGGAGGGGGAGGCGUGGGCUUACGAUGGCGGCGGGUUGUGUGGUGGGCGGCGAUUUGUGUUGGUGGCAUCGGCGGCGGCGGUGUGUUUGAGGUUGUGGAACCAGGCGUUUGGGAUCAUGUCGGAGAAUUUGAACCGGAGAUUACCCAUUGGUGUGUGGUUGUUUAAGAAAGAGAGUGGUUUUGGGUUUUGGAUUUUAAUUUUAGAGUUACAUUUCUUCAUUUUCGUUUCAGAUUUUCCUCCAUUUUCGUUCCCAAUCUCCCAUCUCCGUUUCAACGUAUCUUCCCCCUCCAAUUCCUUCAAAUUUCAACCCCAAUUCCACAUUUCUCCCAAUCACCAUGACCUAAAAUCUUCUUCUUUCCUCCUCGAGAAAUCGUCCUUCAAAUUUCAACCCCAGUUCCCCAUUUCGUGUGAAUAAUGUGCUGUAUAAGUAAAAGAGAAAAGAAGGUGAGGGAUGGAAGCUAAGAGAUAAGGUUGGAGGGAUUUUGUGCGAUUAAAGAGUUAGUGGAAUGCUGAUUGAAUAAGUGAAAUGUCCACUCAGCGGCUACAAUUACACGUCAGCGGAUGCAUGACGGAUAACUAUCAGGGUGGGGACGGCGUGAUAUGAAAGUUUGCAAAAAACGGAUGGUUCGUGACACGGAUAUAAUUACUCAUAAUUGGUGUAUAUUUUGAUCGAAUGAUCGAUAUGUUAAUCUGAUAGAAAAACUAGUACGUUCAGAUGUAAAUAGAUUAAAAUAGGAUGACCAAAAUAGAUAUUUACCACGGAACCAUUUCUUUUUUUGAUAAAUCAAGGGACCUCAACAAAACCCUAGUAACUGCUCAAGAACUGCCGCUCUCACCAUCUGCUGUAUCUCUUCCAGUGCCGGAAUCCGUCUCUGAUUUUCAUAGAAUCUUUGCACGACUUUAUGUUAUUGUCGACCACUGACAAUCAAUACCGACUGCUGAUUUUUUCUGAUUUCUUUCGAUUUUUGAGACACUUGCAAGUAUGGCGGACGUUAUGGGCGCGAAGGAUAUAGGGGCUGUGGCGGCGGAGGCUGGAAUUGACCUAUCACAGGUUGAUUUCGACUCAAUCCAGCUGCCGGCCGGCGAAGAUUUCGGCAUCCUCAGGUACUUAUUCCUAACCAUUGCACUCAGAUGGGAUUCUGUUUCGAUGAUUUUCAUUAUUCUCAUUAGGCGUUUUUCCCUAUCUUUGUAAGCGAUGACGAUGACAUUCUCCACGAGGAGCAGCUAGAUUUCGAUUCUGGCUUUGGAAACAUCAUUGUGGUGGAUAAUCUUCCUGUUGUUCCAUUUGAGAAGUUCGAGAAGCUCGAGGGAGUUAUCAGGAAGAUCUUUUCCCAAACUGGGGUUAUUAAGGAGGAUGGUCUGUGGAUGCCACUUGAUCCUGGGACCAAGAAAACCAAUGGUUACUGCUUCAUUGAGUACAACACUCCUCAGGUUACUUGUUUUCCUACUUAUUUGUCUUGUUAACUUUUCCAAUGAUCUGUUUUGUGUUUGGUUGUUGAUCUACUGUGGGUUCUAUUUACAGGAAGCUGAGCUUGCUAAAGAGAAAACCAAUGGCUACAGGCUUGAUAAGUCCCAUUUUUUUGUUGUCAAUAUGUUUGAUGACUUUGAUAAGUACAUGAGAGUACCGGAUGAAUGGGCAGCUCCUGAGGUUAAGCCAUACGUUCCUGGGGUAAGAACUUGUGCUUCUCAUCUCUUACUUCUUGCUCACCUUUUGCAUGUUAUCUUAGAAUGGAUGCUGUUCGAUAAUGAGUUUCUGUACAAGGGACUUGUUUUUUGAGGUGAGGUGUUUUCGAGGAACUCUAUGCUUUUUCGGUGCUCCCAACAUUGAUGUACAAUUCUAAAAGUGUGUGCUCCUUUUUAAUGUAUACUUGAUUCUUGUGCUGCCUAUUUGGUGCAUGGAUUAUUGAUUGCUGAUAUAACUUUGGGAUAUGCUUAUGAGUAGUUCAUUGCGUUCAGUCUUUUGAACGUCUUUUGUUUUAGUAUGCCUGUUCAGUUGGAAUAAGAUCCAUAUAUAUUCUGAUAUUGGCCUUGUUUAUAUAUGGCUGCAUUUUUCCCUUGAGUCAUGAAGAAAGUAAACUCUAUAUACUCUCAACAUUAUUAAUUUUUAUUUUCAUCAGCAUUUCGUAAGCUCUUUUAAAGCAGAGCUCUGGUUGGCAAUUGGCUACAUGAAUGGCCAAUGAGAAUUAGUUUUUGUAUGUGCUUAUUUUUGUCACGUGUACUUAAUAUGAUCGCAGGAAAACUUGCAGCAUUGGCUAACCGAUGAAAAGGCUAGGGAUCAAUUUGUGAUCCGUGCAGGCACUGAUACUGAGGUGUUCUGGAAUGAUACUAGACAUUUGAAGCCCGACCCUGUUUACAAGCGGGCUGUAAGUGUUGCCUGCUCAUUUGUUGGGAAAUAUUUUCAUCAUUUGCCUUCAUUAUUGUUUAAUUAAGUUAAUGUUGUAAUUUAUUUUGAAAAAAAAGUUAGUGUUUGAAUUUCUUGGUGGAAGUGCCAGCUUGUAUUUGAAUCUUGAUGUAUAAGUAGGUGAAAUAAUGUUCUAGUGACUCCUUUACUAAAAAACGGAAAACAUGAUUCUGUAAUAUUGGGGAGCUGCAGCGGACGAAAUUGAUCAAAAACUUUGGAAGAAAUAUAUAUGGACAAGCUGUCUGUCUAGUUUCAUAAAGAAAUGUUAUUUUAUUGAUAGGUUAUGGUAAUUAGCAUUCACUGGUGACCUGAUGUUGAUGCCUGUUUACUGUUACAGUACUGGACAGAGAGCUUUGUUCAGUGGUCUCCACUUGGAACUUACCUUGCAACAGUUCAUAGGCAAGGGGCAGCUGUGUGGGGCGGUGCAUCCACCUUCAACCGUCUCAUGCGUUAUGCUCAUCCUCAGGUCUUUCUGCCUUCUAUUUGGGUUCUCGUUUUUCACGGCUCUUUCUUUUGUUUUAUCGGCUUCAAUGUUUGAUUUCAGGUUAAAAUGAUUGACUUCUCCCCUGGUGAGAAAUACCUUGUAACCUACAGUAGUCAUGAACCUAGCAAUCCACGUGAUGCAAAUGUGAGAUUGUUUAAUAUGCCUUAGUAUGUUUUAACGUUGUCAGUUCUCUCUUUAUGCUUUGGGACUCAUCUAAUUAUCCUUUUCUUCCAGAGGGUUCUGAUCAAUAUAUUUGAUGUGAGAACCGGUAAGGUUAGAAGAGAUUUUAAAGGAAGUGCUGAUGAAUUUACAGCUGGAGGAGCUGGUGGUGUCACAGGUGUUCCAUGGCCAGUUUUCCGGUGAUUACUCUGUGCAAAUGAUUGUCCACAAUUUGAAUAUUCCUCCCCCCUUCCCAAUCAUUUUGACCUAAAAAUUCUUUAUUGCUGUAUGCAGCUGGGGUGGCGGAAAGGGUGAUAACUACUUUGCAAAGUUGGGUAAAAAUAUGAUAUCUGUCUAUGAAACGGAGACUUUCAGUCUCAUUGAUAAGAAAUCCAUCAAGGUUGAGAACGUUGUGGACUUCACUUGGUCUCCAGCCGAUCCAAUUAUUGCACUCUUCGUCCCUGAGCUUGGUGGUGGUAACCAGCCGGCUAGGGUGAGUCUUGUUCAAAUUCCCAGCAAACAGGAGCUGAGACAGAAGAAUCUUUUCAGUGUCAACGACUGCAAAAUGUAUUGGCAAAGUGCUGGGGACUAUCUUGCUGUACAAGUGGAUCGAUACACAAAGACCAGGAAAAGCACAUAUACAGGCUUUGAGCUUUUCAGAAUUAAAGAACGUGAUAUUCCCAUUGAGGUUCUGGAGCUUGAAAACAAAAAUGAUAAGAUCAUUGCUUUUGCCUGGGAGCCAAAGGGUCACAGGUUUGCUGUUAUUCAUGGUGAUGGUCCUAGGCCUGAUGUAAGCUUUUACUCAAUGAAGACUGCUCAGCACUCUGGCCGGGUGUCCAAGCUCACUACCCUGAAAGGAAAGCAAGCAAAUGCUCUUUUCUGGUCUCCUUUGGGACAUUACUUAAUACUGGCAGGAAUGAAGGGUUUCAAUGGCCAACUGGAAUUCUACAAUGUUGAUGAGCUUGAAACUAUGGCAACUGCUGAGCACUUUAUGGCGACUGAUGUAGAAUGGGAUCCUACUGGAAGGUAGUAUAUUCUUUGAUUUCUGUACCAUUGUGGCAUGAAAAUAAAAUGACAUAGUUGUUGACAGCCUGACUUUGAGUAAAUGUGUUUGAUGGAAUGUCCUUUGAGGAUAAAAUGCUGAUAUAUGUUUGCUUUUCAGGUAUGUGGCAACAGCAGUCACUUCGGUGCACCAUGAGAUGGAGAAUGGGUUUAAUAUCUGGUCCUUCCACGGAAAGCAACUCUAUAGGAUAUCUAAGGAUCAUUUCUUCCAGGCAAGUGGCUAGGGCUAUAAUAUCCUCACCUGAGUUGUAUUUAUUAGGACCGACAUUUUCAUUACCUGAACCAUGGAUGCAUUGUCUUGUUAUUGUUGUGCUUUUAUAACAGUUCCAAUGGCGCCCAAGGCCACCAUCAUUCCUGAGUGCAGAAAAGGAGGAAGAGAUUGCAAAGAACCUGAAGAAGUACAGCAAGAAGUACGAGGCAGAGGACCAGGAUGUGUCGUUGCAAUUGAGCGAGCAAGAUAGAGAGAAGAGGAAACUGCUCAAGGAUGAAUGGGCACAAUGGGUGAGCAAAUGGAAGAAGAUGCAUGAAGAGGAGAAGUUGGAGAGACGGCAUUUGAGGGACGGAGAGGCCAGCGACGAAGAAGAGGUGUAUGAAGCCAAGGAAGUUGAAGUUGAGGAAGUGUUGGAUGUCUCAGAGGAAGUGGUUUCAUUCGAAUACGGUCAGGAGUAGUUGUACGCCAUAUGUAUUGCAUGAAUUUGCAUUAAGCUCGUUAGUUUUUCUCUAUGGAGACGUUUCUUCUUGUUCUUUUUCAAUCUUUGAUGUCUCUUCAAAUUGUUAGAAUCUGGUUUUGUUGGUGAACCAUCCUCAAUUUUGUUAAGACGCCUUUGUGGUGUGAGAUGCUUUUGUAGUGGGUUGAUUUUUAUUUAUUAUCUCUGUAUGGCAUGGAAGAAAGAAAUGUAACCAAGUUAAAUAUUGAGUAGCCCAUAAAAACCAUCAUAAAUUGGUAAUUUUACAGGCAAGUAGACCACCAAGAUGGGUUAUGUGGUGAAGGAUAAAAGUUUAGUUGUUGAGAACUCGUCAACGUUGGCAAUCUCUGUGCAACUUGGUAAUGGCGUGAACUUUGGUCUUCCAACACCGUUGCAUUCAGCUCCGGAAGUUGCUGAUAAAGAACAGCUCAGUUUGCUGAUCAUCCAUGCAUGGCUAUGAGAAGAAUCGUGCCAAUACUACUGUUUCAGUCCGACCAACGUUCAUAUCUCACUCAAUUUUCUUCAUGUCCAGCAACUAUCGUUCAUACAUGUCCGACGGUUUUAAUCGAUUAAUCAUUUAACCGAAAUUCCAGCCUCAAACCCGACAUACAAACAACAAUCUGGCUACGGGAACAAGAACCGUCAACACUAAGCAACCUAUGUACAGUCAGAAAGAUAAUCUAACUAACAUACACUCUAUUUCAUGUCGAAUUCUAUCAACUAUAGUAUCUGCAUUGUUCUCCAUAUUCACAACAUUACGGGAGCAUCUUUUGUACCAAACACGAGCAAUUAUGACUCUCCAAAUAGCUCUGUCCCUUUUCCCUUUCACUGAACCACCCUUAACUUCUUACUCUUCUUACUGAUCUCUUCAUUCCACGUUGCUUGAGCAUCAAAUUCAGAUCCAAGCUUACUACGAACACAAGUAAAGAAUGCACAUUCAGUAAAGAUGUGAUUAACAUCAUCCACACCAUCAUCACAAAGGAGACAAAAGAUGUGCACCCAGUUUGUCAUAUCGCUGUUAAUAACUAGCUUUCCUGUAAUUGCCAUCCAGCUGGUGAAGCAAUGUUUAGGGAUAAAGGAAUUCCUCCAAAUAAAAUUGUUCCACUGAACUUCAAUUUUCUUCUUCCUAAUAUCAUUCCAAACUUCACCAAUUGAGUAACGACCCAUGCACUCCCCUGCCCGCAACAAGUUGUCAUCUUUAUCCUUAUCAAUAAAAAAAUGCAGCAAUGCUUAUGACCUUGAUCACUUGUAGAAUCUUCUCAGGAGAGAAUAGAUACUCUAAAUGCCUUAGGGGGAUCCACUUGUAAACACCAAUAGUUCAUCUACAAAAUAGGGGUUAAACAAUUGUCAAUUUCUUACAGUGAGGAUGAAAAGGGGAAUAGCUCCAGUCCUAACAGUUUCCUGAAAGAGGCAAUAAAAAGGCUUCAUUACAAUAAUAAAAAGGGAAGGAAACAAUGAAUCCCCUUAUCUAAGUCCUUUUUUGCCUUCAAAUACCUUAACGUUCCCCUCAUUUCUGGUAGACUCAGUACUCAUGAUUGUGACAUUUUGGUGGAUCGUAUUACUGCUAGAGUCUCUCUAGUUGGCGUGCUAAACUCACUCUUAGCUAUGCGGGAAGAUUACAAUUAGGCACCUCUGUUCUUGCUUCUGUGAGCCAAUAUUGGCUUUUGGUUUUUCUGCUCCCGAAGAUGAUUAUCAGCAAAGUUGAACAAAAAUAUAGCGAUUUCCUCUGGUCAGUUGGGCAAGGGGGUACAAAAAGAGCAAAAGUUCCUUGAUCUGAGAUAGCUAAACCAAAGAAAGAAGGAGAUAUUGAUAUUAAGGAUCUUGUUACUUGGAAUGUAGCCUGUGUCAUAAGGCAUCUGUGGGGAAAUCUUUUGAAUGCAGGUUCUAUUUGGAUUGUUUGGCGGAAGUGUUAUCGUUUAAAAGCUAAUACAAUUUGAAAUUGUAAGAAACAACCUUAUCACUGUUGGGUUUGGAAAACGAUACUGAAAGCUAGAUCCAUUGCAGCCCAUUUGUGCUCUGUUGAUGAUGAUGGUAUUCCGUUGUGGGCAGGCGCAAGUAUGUCGAGAUACUCUGUUUCUCGGGUCUGGAAUGGCAUAAGACAACACUCUCCUAGAGUAAUGUGGUAUGAUCUAAUAUGAAAGGGACCUUCAAUUCCGAAGCAUAGUUUUAUAAAUUGGCUUACUGUCAGAGGGAGGCUCGUUACUAAUUGCUCUUGGGGUUUACCUAGAGAUCUCUUCUGUCAUUUAUGUGAAUAUGGUUUAGAUGACAUAAACCAUUUCGUCACAGGAUUUUUGUUAGUGGUGCUAUUCAUGAUUCUUUAGAUUUGCAGCUUACUGUCACUGGAAAUGAUUGGAUGAAGGAAAUUGAAGUUGGGUGGGGGUAGAUUUGCAGGUUCCACAGCUGCUACUAGACGUAAGAGAUGUGUUUGGCGUACUUUAAUUGCGACAGUGUGGUAUGAAAGGUGUUCCCGUAAUGCGAGAAAUACAGGAGUGAAAGUUGAAGACAUAAUAGAUAGGAUACAAAAAGAUAUAGAUAUGAAGAUAUGAUUGUAGUAGUUUGUAGUAGUUCUCUCUUGUUAUUACUUGACGGGAAUUAGUCACAACAUGGAGAGAAGAAUCUUAGAUGGUACACAAUUAUGUGUUGAAGGAUAAAGUAUUGGUCUUUCGUACUCAACCACGGUGGAAACGAGUCAAAACUAGGCAUGGCAAUCAGACGAGUUUAUAUAUAUACGUCCAUCCUCGUACACGUCUCGAAAAUUCAUCUCAUCCUCAUCCUCAUACCCGUUCGGACACAUACCUUUAUAUUUAUCUUCAAAUUCGUGGGUUUCGAAUAUUUGUGGGUAUUUUCAUCCCUGUAAAAUUGAAGUAGGAAUUUAAAAAUAAGACCAAAUAAUCCAAAUUCAAAAUCUUUUAAAUGGUACGUUCUAAAUUCUAAUAGGUUAUGUAUGAAUUGUUAUAAAUAAUAGGUGUGGAGAUGUACAGUUUUAAUAGUUAAUGUACUAUUUAUGUUAAUAACCCGUUCUUUUUAGGCAAGGUAUAAGUGUGGAAAGCUAAUUUAAUAUAUGCGUUUUGGAGCGAAAGGAUUUCGUUUUUGUAUCCGAUUCAUGAGCAAUAUGGAACUUUGAAUCUCCAUAUGAUCUAAAGGUCUAGAUUGAUCAAGGACAACAUAGCAUAGCCAUCUCUAAUCGCGAGAUCACUCUAACUCGUUCCCGAUCUAUCUCCAUUCUUUCUUUACGAGAUUCUCCAUACCUAUCAUGCAACCCGUUCAAUACAAAUAUUAAUAUUACCCACUUCUUUAAAAUUGUAGGGUCGAAUACCCACAGUCCACAUAAUCAAAUAAAAUUGCCAUGCCUAGUCAAAAUUAAACGUUAGCAACUUGUGGGCAAUUCGGUAAUGCCGUGGUCUCUCAACCAAAAGUAAAAGACAAGAGUGAAAGACCCGUUGAGUACAUAGACUUAACGUCAUCGUCAUGAAUAUCCAAGUGGGUGUAUGUAUGCAUGCAGCCAUUGGAGUAACCUGCAAUAAAUAUUAUGUGUAAGCUAAGCUCAUCUUGUUCAGACAUUCUUCACUUCAGUGCCACCAAAUCCCAAAAUGGGCGUCAGUGGUUUCUUCUUCCUCCUUCUCCUCCUAACCUUGAUUUCUCUCUGCCACAACUUCCAUGUCUGUGCCCGCUACAUACUUGCUGUUGAACCUAAAUCCUCCUACCUGUCUUCUUCCUUUUCCCCCCCACCAUCACCACCUCUUCCUCCUUUUCCUACUCUUCCACCCGCCCCCGCAAACGCCGACCAACAAUUACCCCUCCGAAUCUCCAAGAGCGACGUCGUCCCCGGGACUUACGUCGUAUCUGUCGGAUUGGGCACUCCUGCCAAAUACCUCAACUUAAUGUUAGAUACCGGCAGCACUAUUACUUGGGUUCAGUGCGGAGAUGGAUGCAUCUACGAUCCUUUCUCAUCCAACACCUCAACCUCUUGCCAAGUUGAAUCCUGUACCUUCAAACUCCGUUACCUUGACGACGGCUUUUCCAUAGGCUACAAAGUCACAGACAAUCUCGCCAUCUCCAAUUACCAAUUCCCCACUAUCGACUUUGGCUGCAUCAAAAUCCUCGACGAAAAAUCCGCCAAAUUGGACGGAAUUCUUGCCCUCGGCCUCUCCACCGCCAAAAAAAGCGUUCCACCCCUCCUCUACCAAACUAAAGAAACCUACCAGGCUACUUUCUGCUACUGCUUGCCUACGGACGCUGCUAAUUCCGGCUACCUUUGGUUCGGAUCGCAGGCGAUUCAGACCUGUCGCGACCGGACUACACCCACCAGACUCGUCCGCAAUACCGAUAACGAGGCUAUGUACUUUGUUAAUCUGAUCGGAAUCACCAUCGGUGACUCGGUAAUUUCGUCGUCGGCGGCGGCGGUGGCGAUCGACUCGGGGACGGAAAUCAGCAGGCUCUCGCCGGAGGUGUACGAAGGUGUGAAAGCAGAGUUCAAGAAAUGGAUGGCGAAUUACAAGGAGGCUGGGAAAUCAGAUAUUUUGGACACUUGUUAUGAACUCGGGGCGGUGGAGAUAAGGGAUUUGGAAGUUCCGAGCAUGGUUCUGCAUUUCGGGGACGGAUUGGAUGUGGUAUUGGACCAAGGUUGGGUAUUUUGGCCGGACGAGAACCGAAAGGGAGUAGCGUGCUUGGGCUUUGCUGCGAGUAAUGUGAGCAUUAUUGGGACUCAUCAACUCAAGGGGUGGAAUCUGCUCUACGACAAUGAAGACAACACUGUUGCAUUCGGCUCCGGAAGUUGUUAAUGGGUUCAUGCAUUCGGCUUAUCUAACACUAUAAUAUGCAUUUAUAUUUUUUUUAUAUUGCCACAUCAGCUUUUUAAUUACUUAUCUGGCUUCUUCUUAAUUGUAGGAAGGAAAAAAACUAUCAGAAAACUUCAUUUUUAAAGCCUCCGUUUGUAGUAAUCAAAUUUCGUCCGGGUCGUAGAGUUCGUAUCGAUCUUUUGCUAUCAAACGACAUGUAACACUUCUAUUCAAUGACUUAAUAUUUUGUCUACCAAUUCCGAACUUACAUUCACCUAAAUUGGUCAAAAGCCAUAAAAAAGCCAUAAUUUUUGUUCAAACCAGCUACACUUUGUAUUAUGGAGAUGUAUGUAUUUGGUGAUAUUUUUUUUAAGUUUUGCUUCUAACAUUUAAUGUAGAAUAGAAUAUAUGAGACCUCCAUAAAACCGUCAGUCUGUAGUUAAUAAUUUUUUAUUAUUUAUUUAUUUAUUUAUGAACCUGAAUAAUUAUUUCUUGACAAUAAUUAAUAGGAUUAACCAUCAUUAAUGUAAAAAAACCUUUAAUAAAUUUAUUAUUUUGAUAAAAUUAUCGGGAUUAACAAUUACCAAUGUUCAAUGACGAUUAAUAAUUUUUAUUUAUUUAUAAGAUUAUCGGGUUUAAGUGAUAUAUCAAAUUAAUAUUUUUCUAACUUUAUUAUAGAUAGAUCCUGUUUGUUGAAAAUUAAAUUAAUGUGUUAUUUGUCGUUAACUUAUUAUUACUAUUUAAAUAUAUCGUUUCAAAUUGUCACGAUAAAAAACAAUACAAAAACGUGCGCGUGAAAUGUUCUGAAAUUUUCGGUCGAUCUUCAAGGCGAUAUUCGUUUGUACCGGCGACAUCUCGCCUUCUGGUUGAUGAUCUCCUCUACUCCUCUCCUCUUAUUGCCAGUACGCCGGCUAUUUUUGAAAUAAACUAUUUGGAUGAGUAAUUUGUGAGUGAUUUUGAAUGUAAUUAUUGUAGAGAGAAAAAAAAAUACAAAACGAAAAUGCCUCUAAUUGUUUUAUGGUGAUAUCAAUUAUCAAAAGAAAUAAGGGGUAGUUUUGGUUAAAAUUCUCAAAUCUCCUCUCUCUUCCAAAAUCUCUACCUUUCUUGGGUGAUUUGAAAUUACUUACGAAAUUUCCUCCUGGCCCACAAAGUUUUUUCAAAUUUUCCUAAAUCUCUUCUCUUUUUUAUGACCCAAACAAGUGAUUUGAGAUGAAAUUUCUUCAGAGGUCCAAAUCACCCUCAAAUCACCCCAUCAAAAUCACCAACCAAAACGACCAAUUCAUANNNNNNNNNNNNNNNNNNNNNNNNNNNNNNNNNNNNNNNNNNNNNNNNNNNNNNNNNNNNNNNNNNNNNNNNNNNNNNNNNNNNNNNNNNNNNAGUAAAAUGAGUAUACCCACAACAACACUAAAAUAAAGUAAAUAAUUCUAACUCUAAACUGCAUACAAAAAUAAAGUAUGAUAUAUCAAUGCUAUUUUCAUGUGCACACACUAGUCCACACAACACUAAUAAAUAAUAUUUUUUUCGGCCCGAGAUGUGUAUCAUAGAGAUAGAAGGAAAAUAAGAUGUUUGUGUGUAGGAUGUGACUGAAUUGAAAUUUAAAAUUUUCAAAUAGGCAUCACACAAUAUUAUCAAUUACUCUAUUCUACGAGUAAUAACAACAAUUUAUAUUGAUAUUAAAAGAAAUUUAUUGUUGCAUUAGUCUCUCACCUCUGACUGCUAUGCUGACUUGAAUGAAUGGUUGCGAUUGAGUCUGAAAAAAUCCAAUGGUGCAGAAUUGUUUGUUUUUAACUAUUAUGGACGGUUCGAAUUUUUCUUAAAGAUCUAAGAUUUGACGGUUGAGAAUGAUUUGCAUUAUACAAAUGAGGGUUAUGUAUCUAAAAUUUAAAUUAAUUAAUAUGUUUUCCUACUUUUUAUUUAAUUAAUAUCUUUUACAUAUGGAUUCGGAUUUGAAUAAUUUUUACGUUAAAAUUUUAAAUUUUCAGACACAAUUAAAACAAGCACAAUCAUGAUAAGGUUUCGGCGAACUUUUUUCUGAGGCCAAACAUGUAUGUUGACUACGUGAAAACUAGAUCUCAUAUCGUUGAACUCGAUUAUGUAACAAUGGCCGGGUUUAUUGAUCAAUGCGUAUAACGAAUUUUCCAAUUAUUUGCCCCAAAUUGUAUAUACUGUUAUAUAUAACGUUAAAGAAAUCAACAUAUAAACCUAUUUGGUAUAUAAAAGAAAAUACGCAAACAAAACACAGAUCGCUAUGUCACAAUUAGUUAUGCACAAUCAAUUUCGUAACAAAGCGCGGAUAAGCAACCUAGUAUUCUCUUGAAUUCAAAAUGAGCUGCAGCCACCGGAGUUGAAUGCCAAUCUCUUGCCAUUGAUGUCAUAGUAAACUUUCAACCCUCGGUGCUGUUGGUUCCCAAUAAUAGUCAAAUCCCCCUCAUUCCCAUUGCCGGCAAAUGCCAAGCACACUCGAGACAUUGGAUUCUCUUCUCCUUCCUUCAAUAUCACCGCCGACGGAUCCAACUUCACAUCCACCGAAUCCUCAAAGUGUAGCAUCAUCUCCGGCGGGCUCCACUCGCUCUCCUCUCCUUCCAGGUUAUAACAACUAUCCAACAGCUUACUCCCUUCUGCUUCAACAUAACCAGACAUCAAUCCCUGAAACGUCGCCCGGAGCUCCGUAUACACGGCCAUAGGAAGGCGGGUCACAAUCGUUCCGGAAUCGAUGAUCGUGUUCAUUUGGGAGGAAGCAGAUGGUGGUAACAAGGACGCGAAGUCCAAUCUCUGCCGUCCGAUUGUUAUCCCGGUGAAUUUUACGAAGUAGUUUGUGAGGCCAUUGUUGUUGUUGGGAUGAAUAUCAAGCGAGAUCAUCUUGGCGGACGGUGAUUUCGGACGGCAGGUCUCCAUCGCCUGGACGCCGAACCAUAGCGAUCCGGUUGAGGAAUCGGUGAGGGGAAGGCAGUAGCAGAAGAAGCCGAGCAGAGUCGAAUCCGUUUGUGCUAACAGGGAGAAAUAGCCAUGUCCUAGACCAAGCACGCCAACUGCUCGACCGAACUCCCCAACGGAUUUUUCAGCGCAACCGAAGAUGAAUCCUUUGUUAACCAAGGCGUCCAAUGAAAGCGUGUCGUUUGCGUAAACUCCGGAAGAUUGCGAGCCAUCGUGGUAGUCUACGGAGUAAUUGCAGUUAGUGCCGCAGGAGACGGAGGACGAGGUUGAUGACAGAGAAGGGUUGAAAGAAACGUCGUCGGAAGAGUUGCAUUUGACCCAACUGGUGUCGCUGCCGGUGUCGAAGAGCAAGUCGAAAUCGUGUCUCGGAGUGCCGAUUCCUACAGUGAUGACGAAGGAUCCUUGGUCCGGUGUGAGAGUCAGGGUGGUUCCUAACCCGAAUUCAUCAGUAUGAAUUGGUGAUUCCUGCUUUAAAAUCCCGGCGGCAUCAGCGCUGAUCACAACGUAUGACGACGCAAGUGUAAUCAUAAGGUAUAAAUUAUGAAGAAGAGAAAGCAGGGAUAUUUUGGAAUUUGCAGAUGCCAUGGGUAGGGCUGGAUAAUAAUCUAUUCUACGGUAGCUAAGGAUGCAGGGUAUUCGGAAUUGAUUAUAAUUCAUAUUUUCUGUUUCUGUUUCUGUUGAUGUUGACUGAUUAUAUAAGAUUAGAAUUUAACAGAAUCUUCAUUCCAUGGCUGUCAUCAAACAUCAAACUUCUGAAUCGCCAGCCAGAGAAAUGGCUUCUCCCAUCCAGAAAGCCAUCACAAAUUUCAACCGUUUAAAAAUCAUACUCUACAUCUAACGGCGGAAAACAUAAAGGGCAAAAUUAAAAUUUUGCAGCAUAAAAUGUAUAUAAUACUCUGUAUAAUACUUAAUAGUUAGUAUCAUAUUACUUAGUAUUACAUUUUAUACAAAAGUCAUAUAAAUUUAUAUACAUUUUUGUAAGAAUUUAUACAAACCAAGACACAUUUGCAUAAUCCAUACAAUUUUUUGUACAAAGUUAUACGACCGGUCGUAUAAAAAUAUUUUCCACAAAAAUUAAAAAAUUUCCAAAAACGUAGUGCAAAGGACAAUGAUCUUGUGGUUGUAAAAAAAUUCGUCAACAGAUGUCAGAAUCGCCGGAAAAUUAAUCGGAAAACUUUUUGAUGACCGAAAAUAAAGGUGUGGUAAGGAGACGAUAAUCCCGCGAUCGAAGAUACUUGACUUUUAAUAUUUAAAAGAAUAUGAUUAUAUUACCCCUAAUUAAUCUUAAUUUUUGAAUCAUGUGAAAAUUCAAAAGUUCAAAUUACUCCUGCUCGGAUCCAAAAAGUAAUGACAUCGGCUUGAGAAUCAGAGACCAAAUGGGGCCGAGAAAUAUCCCGUGUUAUUUGAUAUCGGUCAUUCGAUGGUGUCUGUUAGUCAAAAAGAUGCUGGAAAUUGUAGUGAUGGACUUUCAUUUGGGUCUCAAGUCAACUAGUAGCAACAAAACUAUCCAAUAAUAAUAAUAGAAUGAAAUUGACAAAAGCAUUCUACAUCCCUAUUAUUUGUGUAGACUUUGUGUUACUUAGAGUAAGCUGGUUUUGUAUCCAUUGGUUGCUGGUCAGUUUCAUAAUUUUUUACCUACCGCCUAAUUCUUCUGCAUAUGUUUUCGUUUCCUUCGUUCUCUACGGUUUCCAAUUCCUAUUUUGUGUCGGUCAUAUAUAGCUGGUCUUCUAUCCAUGUCGUCCAGCCUAGCAUCUUCCAACCGCUCCUUUUUGCUAUGGUCUUCUAUCCAUGUUGUAUAUAGCUGGCCUUAUCGCGAACCCUUAUAGCUAAAUUGCUAGCUAAGUUUACUUCUAACAGCUACCAUGUGAUAAUCGACUCUCCGGGCUAUUAUGUUAUAUAAUUUUUUUUUGUAAUUAGUUAAUAUCAAACUUUCAAAAUAUGUAGGUGUUGCUAUUAUUCAUUCCGAUAUUUGAGGGUGUGGGUGCCGAUUUGGUGCAGGGGAUGCAGUCUUUUUAUGUUUUGUUAUGUUGGUGCUUUGCUUGCUUCUUUAGUUUUCUGGGCAGGUUAUACUUUUCUUCUUGAAUUUUUUUGGUUUUUAGGAUUGGAUUGUGGGUGUAGGAGGUUUUAUGGUUUGGUCUUACCUUUUCUUUGGGGUUUUCGUCAUUGUUUUGUCCCCUCACAAAAUAUUAAAUUAUAAGUUCAAUAUACAUACACCAAAUUCUAUGUUGCAUUAUUUAGGGCGAGAUCUGUUGAAGGUGUUCAUGUUGUCCUUCAAAAUGAUCAAAAUGUAUCCGAAACAAGCAUGCACAACAUUGUAUAUAGGGAAAUUUUUGAAGAUUUACAAAGCGUCGGUUCAUGUUUAGCCACUUUUUACCAACAUCAAACUGUUUGUAAUUCCGUAUGCUCGAAUCCUUUUGUCAUGUAAAUUUUGCAUAUAUUAAUUAUCAUCCUUUUGCCCUGUAAAUAUUUUAUAUAUUAAUAAACCUAUUACUACCUAAUCAUUAUAAUCUUAUAUCGUCUUUCUCAUUUACAAUUAACUUUUGAAGAACGGGUGUGCAAUGUCUAAAUUAUUAUCAAUUUAAAUCUCCGUGGCAACGCAAGGUCAACCAUACUAGUUAGAUCUUAAACUUGAAAAAUUAAACUCUAACCCACGAACAUUAUACCCUAAACCCUUAACACAGACCUACGACACCAAACACUGAAUUUUAAAAUAUGAUGCGAAGGAUAUCAAAGCGUUUAAUAGAUCACAUCUAAUAUAGUCUUCAUAAUUUUGCUAGGUAGAAAAGAAGAGUUUUCUCUGUCUCUUUGUGCACAGGGACAGGGUGAACAAUAAGGACCAAGAAGCAAAGGACUUGGUCUAAUGCCUUGAGCUAGAGGGAAACUUGAUUUCGAUGGUAAUGAAGGUGAAGAACAUAAUAUACAAACAAAACAAGAAAUAUGAGUUUGGUUGACCCAUGUUUAAUUCGACAGGUCCUGUAAUCUCAAUAAUAAACAUUUUAAUCUGAUCUGCACCAUUUGAAUGGUUUCUUCUGUGUAAAGUUGAUGCAUCUUGUAGUACGUGGUAGCUGAAUUCUGGUCUCCAAACAUGAUGCCAAAACGGAUUUUCAUCCACUUCCAUCAUAAUUUCACAUAAUAUUUCGGUCUCUCGAGUUGGGGCAUGUAACAUUUCGGUCGCUCAACCUUGAGUCAACACAAAUAAGUUGAGUGACAUAAAUGUUAUCUAGCCCAAGCUUGGGCUAUAUAUUAUACGAGGGAGUAAAUCGAAGGUGUAAAACAAGCUUCGUUUUGUAGAUGGAAGCUUGGGCUAUAUAAUACGAGGGAGUAAAUCGAGCAGAUGGUAGUAUGAGGCAGUCAUUUUUCAACUGUCUACUUCGCCUGGAUUUUGUGUUUUGAAAAUCGACAGUUUUUUUUUUGAAAAAUGGUAGUUUUUGAAACUGCAUAUUUAAAGAAACUAUCGUCUCUCAAAACCUUUAUUUGGAAAUUAUUUAUUUAUGGGUAACACUCCGGUGAAAACAUACAUUCGAUACAAACGCCACAUGACGAAUUAUAGCUGAUCUCCCCAAAGUUUAUCUUUUAUUUUGAUUAAUUAACAACAUUAUCAUUCGACAAUUUAACCAUUUAUUACUUGUAACCACCGUCCUCUCCCCCCUCCUAAUUGCAUAUUGUUAGUAAUUUCAUUGCUCAGGCCCACAUUCCAAGUCUUGCAGGUAUGAUUCCCUCGUCGCUUCCACACUAAUGCUACGAUUGGCACCUGGAAAAUCUCAUAGGAAUCUUGUCAUUUUCCUAUCUGAAUUGGAAUCUCAUCAUUUUUAUAUUUGGUAUGAUAAUUUUGGGUGGAAUCAUGACUACAAUGACUAUGAGAAACUGAGUUUCCAUCAAUAAUGGUCGGAUUUUGAGAUUCUAUCCAAAAAAAUGUACACGCUGCCCUUGUAGUUCUCUAUUAUUACAAAAUUGUCAUUUUAAUAUAAAUGGACUAAUAUACUCUUUAUAAAAACAUUUAUUUUUUGUUUUGCUAAAAUAGCUCAUAUCAUAUUAAUUAGUCAUCAAUACAAUAGUAAAAAGUGAAUCUAUGAAAAAAGAUUUUCGAAGCGUUCAUUGCUCAGCAGACUCACAAAUUUUCUAUAACGAGGGAGAAUCUCAAAGUUGUCAUAGAUAAUUAAUACGAUAAGAGUUGUUUCAGUAAACAAUAAAUAAGUAUUUUACAAAGGGUAUAAUCAUCAUUUUAUAAAUUGCACGAAAUAAAAUAUAGACGGGUCAUAUUAAUUGACUUUUAUUAUAGUAUUUAUAAUAAAUCACACUCUAGGCCAUAUACAAUGCUCGUAAUGCUCGUAAUGCACAAAAAUACAUCCGAUUGUAAUGCUCAUAACCGAAAGUGAGGUAAGCCAUGAUGACACAUAUCAAACUUCAACUUUCAACACUUCGACGCCAUCACUGGCUUCCAGCUGAUCAUCAUCCCAAGAUAUAGUAUGGUGAUUACCAUACGCCCAAGUGCAGACCAAGAAGUAGCACAAGUUGAAGAAACUCAGCCCUGCCACAAGCCAAUAGUAGUAGUCGAUUUUACUGCGGGAUAGAUUAUCAUUUACCCACCCAGUGUGAUUCUUCACUUGGCGCAACAUCAACGUCGCAGCUAGCAUCCCGAAACACUGCCCCAAGGAUACUAAAGCAUUCCCAAGGCUCUUCAUCCCAUUCGGCAACCGUGAAUUGAAGAAGUCGAGUUGCGCAAGCAGGUAGAGCGCCUCCGCAAGUCCCAUCAGUGAAAGCUGGGGGAUAAGCCAGUUCCCCGACAUGGUCGGCCCCCUCGAAACCAACCGUCGAUGGUGUUCCACGAAACCUGCAAUGAGGUUGGCGAUGCAUGACAAGGCGAUUCCUAUGGCCAUUCGGAUCCGAGGCUGGAUGCCGUUUCGGAGGUGCUUAGAGUUGAACCUAGUGAGGGCCGGGACGAUGACCCUGGCAUAUAAGAGCAUCCAUAGGGUCAUUGUGCCAACAGUGAAGAUGACGUAGUCUGCAGGGGUGAGGUUUAGAUGGCCCAAGUGGCGGUCCAUGGCUUGGGCUUGGUAGUUGGGCAAGGCGCCCGGAGAAGUGGCCACGGUGGUGAUGAUUCCGGUAGACCAGAUGGGGAUGACGGAGAUGAGAGCUUUGAACUCCUCCACCUCUCGAACAGUAGAUAAAGAAGUGUUAGGGUUUGUAGCCUCUUCAUUGUCAAUGAGCAUGCAAGCUCGGUUGAGAAAUCUACAUUUUCGAAAUUAAAGAAGGGGUUAAUUAAGGUUUAAUGAAAGAGUGGCAGAUACAUGAGGCCUCCUCGGGCCUCGGGCAACGUAUUUUCGGAUUUUGAAGUUCGAUACUAUAUAAUUUGCAUUAUAUUUUUUAGUUGGUUGACAUUUUUAUUAUCAGCGUAUUUGGACUCAUAUACAAUUCAUCACAGUGCAUUGAACCAUCCUAGAUCCGUCACUAAAUCAAAAAAAUUAAUUAGUAGCAUUUAAUUAGGGCAUGAUUGAUUACUUAUAAUAUACCUUAAUCGAUUGGUGGGAUGGACGAAGGUGGAUCGACCGUAGUGGAACCACCUAGCUUGGUCGGUAUCGGAAGGGGCUACUGACAGUCGUCUUCGUCUCCAUGCUGCCAUGAGCAAUGUCCCGAUACCACUCCUCGAACUAGACUUUGAUAUCUGGACAACCUUAACGUAUCGAGAGGAUCUAACCAUGAAAGAGAUGAAGGAGAGCAGCAUGAGGACGGGAGGGAUAGCGAACAACAUAGACCACUCCACAUGCUUGUUGAUUUCGGACAUGACCAGCACCGAAACCACGACCGAGAACCCCACCGUGGCAUAGUACAAGCUGUAGUACCCUUCGAUGGUUUUCCUAUUGUCGGGGUCGUUGGGGUUGUUAAUCUGGUUCGCCCCGAACGUGGGACAACACGGCCUUAUCCCGCCGCCUCCGAUUGCCAUAAUAGCGAAAGAGGAGAAGAGUAGGAGCAACCUCCACAGUUUCUCCCCAAACGGACUGUCUGGGGCAUCAGGUCGUAGUCCGGGGAAGAAUGCUGUGGCCCAUAAAAUCGCCAUGCCCUGAAAAUUCAAUAUGCAUCUGUAACGUUAGUUUAUAAUAAAAAAACAUUAUAUAUUAUUGAAGUUAUGAUAAAGUUAGUGUACGUUAUAACAAACUCACCAUUAGUGUGACCAAGCUGCCAAAGGCAAUGACCUUGAAUUGGCCAUAGGAGUUCGAGACACCGGCUCCGAAAAUCGGAGUGAAGUUCCUGACAGCACCGAAUACUAGCACAAAGGUGGAGACACCCGAGAGGCCGAUGAAGUAGUCAUUCGUAAGGUACUCGAUACACACCGGUAUUAGCCCGACACUAGCCGCCUUCUCAAAAAUCUCAUUUGCUGAAUAAUACAAAUACCAAUUAUAAUCCUCUCCCGACAAUUCGAGUUAUUCGGAUGCAAACUUCUUAUAAAUUAAUAGACAGACAAAUGUGCAUAUGUACAUACCUAUGAUGAAAGGUAGCGUCUUCCAACCGCCUAGUGAAACAUCUACUACAGCCAUUUUAUGAACGUAAAGUGACAACUUUUAACGUUGGUGUGAGGUGAAGAGAAGUGAAGAGGUUAACAAAAUGGGCAGUAUUUAUAUAUAUAGGCCAACAAACACGUACCAGUACGUAAAUUGGGUAAUUAUCUACGGCAGCUAAGUGUAAACAUGCAGAAUAUUCUGAAUUGGUAAUGAUUCAUAUUUCCAUUUUUCUGUUGACUGACUAUAGAAAAUUAAUUAGCAUUUAAUGGAAUCUUGGUCCCAUAUGUGAUCAAACAUGAAUCCGAGGAGGAGGACUAGAGUCUGUGAGUACUCGACUUAGCUGGUAGCAGCGUCACAGACCACAUAGGACUGAG
Molecule: long non-coding RNA, 41291 nt
Filed under: Linum usitatissimum (flax)
Lineage: Eukaryota; Viridiplantae; Streptophyta; Magnoliopsida; Malpighiales; Linaceae
Description: long non-coding RNA (LUSI_LNC006307)
Source: RNAcentral